GCGACUUAGAUUUAUCAGCUGCAAGUGAUGAUGAACGAACCAUAGACCAGGAUUAUGACCCAACUCAGUCUGCUGCCGCAGCUGCAGCUAAAAGUUUUCUACGGCCUCCUUCAUUGCAUGCACUUCUGGAGAAUAUGUUGGAUAAAGCUGUACCGACUAACAAUUACACCUCCUCUUCAGGUGGAGAUACUGAAGAGAAAAGUAAAGCUG
Molecule: unclassified non-coding RNA, 210 nt
Filed under: Hevea brasiliensis (rubber tree)
Lineage: Eukaryota; Viridiplantae; Streptophyta; Magnoliopsida; Malpighiales; Euphorbiaceae
Source: RNAcentral